RNAcentral lists this ribosomal RNA (240 nucleotides) under uncultured bacterium. RNAcentral describes it as "partial 16S ribosomal RNA". It matches the Rfam family "Bacterial small subunit ribosomal RNA", at positions 524 to 763 of the family's 1533-position model. The record is from RNAcentral.
UACGUAGGGGGCAAGCGUUAUCCGGAAUUACUGGGUGUAAAGGGAGCGUAGACGGUUGUGCAAGUCUGGAGUGAAAGGCGGGGGCCCAACCCCCGGACUGCUCUGGAAACUGUAUGACUGGAGUGCAGGAGAGGCAGGCGGAAUUCCUGGUGUAGCGGUGAAAUGCGUAGAUAUCAGGAGGAACACCGGUGGCGAAGGCGGCCUGCUGGACUGUAACUGACGUUGAGGCUCGAAAGCGUG